Molecule: long non-coding RNA, 2571 nt
Filed under: Mytilus galloprovincialis (Mediterranean mussel)
Lineage: Eukaryota; Metazoa; Mollusca; Bivalvia; Mytilida; Mytilidae
Source: RNAcentral
AAUUUUAUUUACAUCUUUAAAAGAAAAUUGAGCUACGUGAAUAUAAUAACUACGUUUCAAAUAAGACAGUAAUGUAUAAUUGCAUAACAAAAUCAUAACAAUGUCUUAAGGAUGUUCGCUACUCGCUAACAAGUUUUUUUAUAGUAUCGAUUGGUAGAUUAAGAUAUAACAAAACCUUAAAGAACAUAUAAGUACGAGAGGUCCGUGAUCUUGUUUUUGAGGUAUAAGCUUUUGAAAUUUGCCGGGAAAUGAAACUCUCUAGAUUUUUCAUACAUUUCAUUUGCAUUUAGCAUUCAAUUUGUUUAACAUUUGAAUAUUUUUUCUUUCAAAAACUGAAAAACGAUUAUAUUACAUUUUCAAAAAUAGCUUUUCAAAAAUAAUAAUAAUAAUUAAAGUUAUUAUAAUAACCCUUCAUAGAUAAAACAAAAAAAUUGUGAAUAUCUGACGAAGAGUAAAAAAAAAAAAAGAGUAACAAACAUCCUCAAUUAUAAAAAUGUAAUAAAAUCAAUAAAAAUAUAUUCCCAUCUUUGAUGAUUUUUUUUGGCACAAAUAUUAAAAAAAUGACGGAACAAAAGUUUUUUGUUUUCAUUAUGUUCCCAAAACAAUUGAGUCAACUAUAUGUAUCACAAUGCAUUCUAAUGAUGUUGUAUUCUGACGAGUAGGUAUCCCAGUGGUAUGAAAACAUAUGAUUCAUGUCACAUACCAAAAUCAGAAAAAAAAGAAAUGUCUAAUGAACAAAACAAUAAAUUCACAUCUAAACAGGCAAUGUAUGUGCAAGUUAUUAUGCAAAAAACCCAAAAUAAUAGAAAAUGACUGCAAGUAUACGACCAGUAACAUUUGUUUGGUCUAGCAUGUUGAAUGCAACAUAAAAAAAAAAAAAACCAAGACAACUGAAUUAUUAUGAACAUUUGUAUCGUAAAAAUAAAAAUUACAAUGUAGUAGUCGAGAACAUGUAAAUUAAAAAAAAAAACGAUUAAUUGAUUGAUUGAUUGGUUCAUUAUUGAUUACUUGGUUGAUUGAUUGACUGAUUGAUUGCUAACAAGUGUUUAACGUCGAAAAGGAGCAUAUACAAGAUAUAGGCGGAAUCAAAGAGGUUUAUCUGAACAAUUUACGGUAAAUGUUGGUUAUAGAAAAGGAAAAUACAUAAUUUUAGGUUAUAAAGACAAAUUAAAGUAUCAGAAGUCUGUACAACUACAGUUUUUAAAAGAGAUAAAAUGAACAAUGUUUUGCCCCCCCCCCUCCCCCCUAUGAUUAUACGAUGGCUGCGGUCAACUCUCUACUGAAACGAUUACAGUGGUCAAUUCUCUACAUGAUGACAGUGAUCAACCCUCCACACGAUUGUAGUAAUCAACUCUCUACUCAACUAUCUACAUGGUAGCAGUAAUCAACUCUCUUCACGAUUACAGUGAUCAACUCUUUACACGACGACAGUGGUCAAUUAUCUACACGAUUACAGUGAUCAAAUCUUUACACGACGACAGUGGUCAAUUAUCUACACGAUUACAGUGAUCAACUCUUUCCACGACGACAGUGGUCAAUUAUCUAGACGAUGGCAGUGGUCAACUCUACACGACGACAGUGGUCAAUUCUCUACACGAUAGCAAUGGUCAACUCUCCACACGCUUGAAGUGGUCAACUGUUUACACGACGACAGUGGUCAACUCUACAUCAUGAACACUAUUGUGGCAAUGGUCAAUUAUCUACACAAUGACAGUGGUCAACUCUUUACUUCAACUAUCCAUUUGAGCUAGAAGCAAUUAAAUACACAUAAAAAUAAAACAAAUAAAAACAUGAUAUAAAAGAUAAGAUACGUUUCCAUAUUUAUAAAUGAUGUAUAAAAUUCCACAUCACUCGUAAAAGUUAAAAAUAAACUUAACCGAAAUUGGUUAAACUUUUAUAACCAUUCAUCGAAAUUGGUUAAACUCCCUUGGAAUCCCGAGGAGAAAUUGCACAUUUUGGCGCAAUUCGUAAUUUUAGUCUGGAAUCGAUUCACGCGGAGGUUUAUUGUCAAUGAAAAUCGGAUCCAGAGUGAAUGUACACACCGUGAAACAGCCUCAAUGAAUUGUUCCACAGUACUCGAAACUCUCCGCGGAUUUCGGAACCCUCCGUGGAUUUUGGAUCGGGAUACCUGCUGUAUGUUGUUUCGACUAUUACAUGACUAUAGAGGGUACUAAACGAACAAUACUACUCAUAAAAAUUGCGAAAACAUAAAUAAAUUUCAUUUUUUUUAACCAAAUUGCAAAAAUAAUACACAUAUACAAAAAUUACACUUAAAUGCACACGAAAUACACAUUGAAAAAGUAUAAAAAGAUUGGUCCCUUUCCAGCAAAAAUUUGUUAUAAAAAUAAAAUGUUUGGCCAUCUUGAAUUAUUCCUAAAUAUAAUAUAUAAUAUAUAUACAUACAAAACAAUAUAUAAACAUAUACAUGGUAUAUAAAUGGUCGAUUUCGUGAUAACAUCGGAUGGAUAUGAAAUAAAAAAGGCCAGAAAAUGGCCGGGAUUAAACUUUGAACCCCGUUGAAUUAUGCAUGUGCAAGAUGUGUGUGAAGUGGAAUGAAUAUUACGAAUUAUU